Molecule: long non-coding RNA, 279 nt
Filed under: Phoenix dactylifera (date palm)
Lineage: Eukaryota; Viridiplantae; Streptophyta; Magnoliopsida; Arecales; Arecaceae
Description: long non-coding RNA (PDAC_LNC002982)
Source: RNAcentral
UUUUGAAUAACGAAAGAAAAACCUUACGUUGGAGAUGUUGAAUGAUUCCCUGGACUACCAGAGAAUGUUUUCUAAUUGAAAUUAACUACAAGACAGGUAGUCAGAUUCAAAGAGCAUUCAUGUAUUAAAGCUUUGAUAUAAAUUAAAAUGGAUGAAAACAGUGUUAGGAAAAUUGCACACUGAAAUAUAGAUUGCAUGAAAGAGGAUUUAAUGGAUUGCAGAACAGAAAUUAAAAUUGCAGAAUAAAUAUAACUUUCUACCCGAAUAAACUCUCAAAAA